CGUUCUAUGGCCGAGUUGGUAAAGGAAUCGCCGAUCAGAGGCGAGGUUGCAGGUUCGAGUCCCGCUGGAACGA
Operophtera brumata (winter moth) is the source of this 73-nucleotide transfer RNA. It matches the Rfam family "tRNA". From Rfam's summary of the family: Transfer RNA (tRNA) molecules are approximately 80 nucleotides in length. NCBI's taxonomy places the organism in Eukaryota, Metazoa, Arthropoda, Insecta, Lepidoptera, Geometridae. The record is from Rfam.